This is a long non-coding RNA of Brassica napus (rape), 1750 nucleotides long. RefSeq lists it as uncharacterized. The record is from RefSeq and is a predicted model, not a curated record. The transcript has 7 exons. NCBI's taxonomy places the organism in Eukaryota, Viridiplantae, Streptophyta, Magnoliopsida, Brassicales, Brassicaceae.
ACGGGCUUUAUUGUUUUAUGGGCUUUAUGUUUUGCUUAAGGGACCAAGCCGAUAUGGAACACACUAAGCGUCUCCGUAAGCGUCGAUUGAUCUGAUUUUAGGAUUCAUCCCACUUUUGUUUUCCGUCAUUCAUGAGAUCGGACGCUGCCCCUCCACCGUUCAAGUGCGAUUGCUCCGGUUCUGGGAAGCUAGGAACGUCCGGUGGCGACGAAUUCAUGGGAGUGGAUAUGCUCCUAUUGGAUUCACAGGUUGUUAUGUAUAAAGCUUGCGUUCAUAAUUCAAAAAAAAAAAAUCUGGUGUGUUAAAUCCUCAUUAUCAAGCUUUCCUAUUCAGAGUUUUGUUUGACAUCUUUUGAAUGAGAAAUUUUGAAGCCGUUCUUUGAUUGUGAUGUCAUAAGAGAAAUUUUCGUUAUGUGCUUUUGUGGUUUCUACAAAGUAAUCCAGGAGGUAAGCCUCGCCGCGCCUCGGUAGCAUGCUUCUAGCACAAAGAAGCUCCCACCUGAGUAAAUCUUUAUCGGAGUCUGGAUGCACACUUCGUGAUGUCAUGAAUUCAGUGACACAUUGACCUUAAGUAACGUGAAGAUGAUUUGCCAACAUAAAGACAUCAUACGUCAAGAAAAAUUCAAGAAAGCAGUGCAGUGUGAGAAGUCAGGCAACAACAUUGAUCUAUAAGAACGUUGAGGCAUAUCAAGUCGUGGAUUGUAAGUGGAAGCAAAAGGAUUUUGGUAAUUUUGGUUAGUGACUCAAAUCUUUUACCUUCUCUUCAUAUGGCUUAUUUAGCUGGAUCAAAAGCGUUCAACAUCAAUGUUUCCGUCUCCUCCAGUUGAAUAUUUUAUGUACUAUGGAUGCUACAGUUAAAUUGAAUUACAGAAGCAGGGGUUCUAGGCUUUUAGCUAUCAAGACACUCAAUUGGAUAGGACUUAGCUGGCAGCAUCUUUGAAUGAUCUUUAUACGAACGACAUGGAAAAGCUUUCUGGGCCAAUCAAACGCAUAUGGUACAAAUUGAUACUCCACUGAAUGAGCGGAACGCAAGGCUUCUAAUGAUGGUUCUACUUCUCUACCACAAGGGAGCUGCGAAAAUAGGGUCAAACUUCCAAUGAAUUAAGGUAAAUCAUAAGAGAAACCUCAUCCAAACCAUUGUGUCAACAGAGAAUAGAAGUUCUAAUUUUUGGAAUCAGCUUUCCAUUUAUCAUGCAGGUCUGAUUAAUGUUUUUGUCACAGGUUGUUCUCAACUCUGAUUGUGCUAUGUACAAUACAAGUGAUUAUCUCAAGCUGUCUAAUUAUUUCUCUAACGAUCUGUUUCUUUGUUGAGGGAAGUAGUCGAAGAAGAUUUCACAGCCUUUGUUGGGAGACCAAAUAAGAGACCAAGAACUAACUGUUCAGAAGCAAAUGAAUAGGAAGUAACACAUGCUCUUAUGACACCCUGAGGCUGCGGAAACAUGAUUAAAGGUGUCAUUCCUUGCCUCCUUGGUUUCUUCAAUUUUUUUUUUUGGUUUCUUCGGUUUGUCCACGAAAUACUUUGUGUUCUACUUUUGAAUCUUUUCAGUUGUAAAAAGGAAGAAUAAUAUAGCAAUGUACCCAUUUUAAUAAAUGAAAAUGUAAUCUCCCAUGGCAAUGUCAUCUCCAAGUACUUUGAAUCUUCUCUUUGUUUUUGUAAAAGAGAUGAGUGGUGUUUUUAUUACCAAAGCUAAUUGUAAUCUCCAGCGGGUUUUUUCCGUUAUCAAUAAUGCAGCUCCUGUAAUUUUCUCUCA